This is a long non-coding RNA of Vigna radiata var. radiata (mung bean), 1654 nucleotides long. RefSeq lists it as uncharacterized. The record is from RefSeq and is a predicted model, not a curated record. NCBI's taxonomy places the organism in Eukaryota, Viridiplantae, Streptophyta, Magnoliopsida, Fabales, Fabaceae. The transcript has 3 exons.
UGGUGUGUUUACCCUAUUUUCAUUCAAUUUCCUCCCCUUUCAAUUCAGUGGUUCUCUCGUUCCUCUCGUACGUACCACGUAUCAAGAGUUCGGUUUUCCUAUUCGUGACCUGGUUUUGACAUGGAUCAGAUUCCGAUCUACUCGCCAAUCGAGCUUUUCCUACGAAUUGAUUUUCCAAGAUUUGAAGCCCGGUGUCACCGAUCUACCGUUCAGAGCUGUGAUGAUCGUGUUCGUGUUGCUUGUUUCGUGAAGGCUCGAUGAUUAUAGCGCAGAUCGCCAGAACAAAAUUACCAGGUCCAGCGCUUCAUAGUUGCCGUUCCUGUGUGGAGUUCUUCGCAUUCGGAUUUAAAGAAAUUAUAUGAGGAUUCUUGAGGGGAAAUUUUCGGUGUAUGUAGUAGAAUGAAUAUUUGGGGAUGAAGUGGUUAUGGAGAAUUUUGUCAACCGACCUUUGCCAUGACAGGUGCGCUUGCAUGGCAGGUCAAAACAAAUUAAUAAAAAAAAAUUAUUUGUGGGUUUUGAGGGAGAUCGCACGGGAAUUCCCGGGUUCUCCCUCUGGUGUGGUGGUGUGUGUCUGUGUUCCUUUUCCUUCCUUCUCUCUUUCUUUAUAUUUUUCUUUUCCUUUCUCACUCUUCUUGCGACGGAUACACCACCACUGGACUCGCUUCGUCAUCGAACUAAAGAGGUAUCGUCUAAUCUAUCAAUUUAACUUUACCUUUACAAUAACGCCUUUCUUUUUUUCGUAACAUAGUCAAUAUACUAACAACAACUAACAAAAUUAAUGCAAUUGCAAACAUUGAAACAAGUAACUCGUAUAUGAGAAAUUAAUCACUGUAGUUUAUCUCUCGAAAUGGUGAAUUAGUAAUUGAAGUGAUAUUAUGAUGUUAAUUCUAAUUUUGACCGUUUUCUUGUAUUUACUGGGAAUAUCUAACAGCUUGGAUGCUAGAUUCGUAACAACAACAUUGAUCCUCCGGUCGACUUCUGUAAUAACUAAUCAAAAGGCGAAACUACUAGUUAACACUUGAUUGAUAACUUUUAAAAUUUUGCAACACUAUUACUACGAGUAUCGUUUCCGGUUUGAGUUCUUAUCAUUAAUUGUAACCCACAAUCUGUUCUCCUUGACUUUUAGCAUUUCAUUUUCCCACAAUGCAUAGAUUUUUCUGUAGAUAUACUCGUUCGAUUGAAGUCUUCGCAGCGGGAAGGGUGUGAACAGUGUUUCACCGUAUCAAAUAUUGCAGUGAUCUUCCUCAGCUUGACUAGAAAGAAUUUCAAGGUUUCAGGUGUACAAAAGGCCAAAUUCAAGGGAACAUUUCAAAUAUAUCUUCUUAUUCAUCAAUAUUUUGAGAUAUAUACUCUUUCAAUUGAAGUCUCCGGAACUGGAAGGGUGUGAAUUGAGUUUUUGAAAUGAUCUUCCUCAGUUUCACAGGAAAGAAUUGCAAGGUUUCAGGUGUUCAAAAGGCUAAAUUCAAGGGAACGUUUCAAGUGCAUAGCUUUCUCAAAUUUUUCGUAAAUGAAGUACCAUAUUCUUUCGGUCUCUGGAAUUAGAUAAUUGGUUGAUUUGUUGUGGGUAAAAGAGGCAGAAUGUUUUAUUUUUAAAUUAAGUUUAUUUCAUACUUGGAUUAAUUUAUCAUGAGGAUGUAAUUGAGACAAUUUUAUA